AAUAAGUACAGUUUUGCCCUGUUCAUGUCUAACGUUUCAUCGUUCGUCUUAUUUUAAAAAAAAUAUGAUUAGUACUUUUAUUGUUAUUAGAUGAUAAAAUAUAAAUAGUAUUUUAUGUAUGACUAAUAUUUUUUAUUUUUUUUAUAAUUUUUUAAAUAAGACGGACGGUCAAAUGUUGGAUACGGAUACCCUUGUUUACACUUAUU
Non-coding RNA from Oryza nivara, 206 nucleotides. NCBI's taxonomy places the organism in Eukaryota, Viridiplantae, Streptophyta, Magnoliopsida, Poales, Poaceae. The record is from Rfam.